CCCGCAAGGGAUAAGUAGAGUGGCAAACGGGUGAGUAACACGUGGGUGACCUGCCUUCGAGCGGGGGAUAACGUCCCGAAAGGGACGCUAAUACCGCAUAACAUCCUGCCUUUUAAGAGGUGGAGAUCAAAGCCGGGGACCGCAAGGCCUGGCACUUGAAGAGGGGCCCGCGUCUGAUUAGCUAGUUGGUGGGGUAAUGGCCUACCAAGGCAACGAUCAGUAUCCGGCCUGAGAGGGCGGACGGACACACUGGGACUGAGACACGGCCCAGACUCCUACGGGAGGCAGCAGUGGGGAAUUGUUCGCAAUGGGCGCAAGCCUGACGACGCAACGCCGCGUGGAGGAUGAAGACCUUCGGGUCGUAAACUCCUUUCGAUCGAGACGAAUGUUUUCCGGGUGAACAAUCCGGGAAAGUGACGGUACCGAGAGAAGAAGCCCCGGCUAACUCUGUGCCAGCAGCCGCGGUAAUACAGGGGGGGCAAGCGUUGUUCGGAAUUACUGGGCGUAAAGGGCUCGUAGGUGGCCAACUAAGUCAGACGUGAAAUCCCUCAGCUUAACUGGGGAACUGCGUCUGAUACUGGAUGGCUUGAGAUUGGGAGAGGGAUGCGGAAUUCCAGGUGUAGCGGUGAAAUGCGUAGAUAUCUGGAGGAACACCGGUG
Molecule: ribosomal RNA, 659 nt
Filed under: uncultured bacterium
Lineage: Bacteria
Description: bacterial SSU rRNA
Rfam family: Bacterial small subunit ribosomal RNA
Source: RNAcentral